CGAGGAUCCAAAGUCCAAGCCGGUCUAUGCUCAUGGCCGAGUAGCCUAUCAUAUGAUCGCUGACAUCAUGAAAACAGGUGGAGUUAUUUGUGUCAUGUCAAAUUGUUGGUACCAACCUUGUACUCCUUUAAACAUUUUAUUACCUGUCUGCCGAUCCCGGCAGUGGACUCGACCAUUAUAAGCAAACGAAGCAGUGCACACGGUGAUGACAGAGAUAUGGACUGGAACGUAAUUUAAUCACAGACCACAGAGAGAAGGUGCAUCUAACCUUUGUUAUGACUACUGGCUUGGGUGUUUUUACUGAGAACAAAAUGGUCAUCUGAAGGAAAUAGGAUACAUAAUAAGUGGAGAGUGAGUAAGGUAAGUGGUCUUAAAUGGUUGUCUUGAUACUCUGUAAGAGUGAAGUUGACUUGAUAUAAUGAAGGUGUGAGGUUAUCUUGAUAUACUGAAG
Esox lucius (northern pike) is the source of this 451-nucleotide long non-coding RNA. Lineage: Eukaryota; Metazoa; Chordata; Actinopteri; Esociformes; Esocidae. The record is from Ensembl.